GAGGCGCUCCGGCUGCGAGCAGAGACUCAGCCCGACACUCCUCCCCGCGCUGCGCCGCUGCCUGCGGGCCAGGAUCCCGUGGACUGCAGCGAGAGCGAGGCGGCGUGGCUUCCCGGCUCGGUACCGCGCGGCUGCUCACCUCCGCGGCCUCGCCUCCUGCGGCUUCCAGGUCGCACCGUGCGCUCCUUUUCGCGCCGCUCCCACGGUCUCUGUUUUCCCCCCUUCUCUCGUUAGACUCAACGUCACAACUACCGGGACCUCUGCGGCCCUAAAAGUGCAGCGGGCACAGACAGAGUCGGAUCGGCUCGGGCUUCAAGCCUUUCGCCGGCUCUCUUUCCUUCUCCUGGGCACCGAGGCCAGAUCUUCUCCUGGAGUUUCAUGGCCCUUAGUCUUGCCUGGAACUGUCUUUGUAACUGUGUGGUCCAAAACCAAGAUAUCAGCAAGCAGAUAUGGGAGAGGACCACGAGGCCUGAAGAGAAAAAGAAGUUUCUGGCACAGGGACUAAAUGAGCAAGAUGGGCUGAGACCCAAGAGUGCUACAGUGUAACUGCAGGAGUCCGUCUGGAUUCCAGAGUAAUGGAACGCAGAUGCUCCAGCGGGUUUGCUGUGCUUGGGACACACCUCCAGUCGUAACAAGCCAGAGCGAUGAGACCACAAAGAGGCAUAAUGGGCCUCAUUCUUCUUGACUGUCCGUCGAGGGACCCAUAGUCACUGGCCUGGGGGUUUUCUUCAGCGUGGCUGCUGACUGCAUCAAGCAAGUGCCUACACCUAAGACAGUUUAUUCAGUGUAGAGUAGCCAGGAAGCGUGGAGGAAUGUUGCCACCUUUCUAGGUUUAUUAGAGACCACUGAAGGCACUCCAUCCCUGUGGUCCUCUGAGGACAGUUUUAGGAAUCCCGUCCUGCAGGAGGAGGAGGCCGAGGGUGUGUGGCACCUGUUCCAAUCACAGCCGCCAUGUCAGAGCCAGGAUUUUGGAUUCCAAGUCUCCUGUUUUGUUUUGUUGUUUUGUUUCUUCACCAGCGCCCACCUAGCCACCUGCCAGGCAUUUGGGGGCGAUUCAGAAGUUUUUCUGAAUCUUCAUCACCAUCCUGUCUAGAAUUUAUUAAAUAUCCAUCACUUACCAGCUGCGUAGACUCACAAGGAAGCCUCACAGCGUCCUUGCGAGGUGUAUGUUAUUUUCCCCAUUUUACGGAUGUAGAAACAGAUUGAAGGAGGGGGGCACAGUGAUUGACUGGGCUGAUUCCAGAAGCGAGGGUCAAGAGUGACUGGCAUAGAGGCUGAGGGGCUACCUGUAAAGCCGGCUUGGCAAGAGCUGGCAGGAGGCUCAGAAGAAGCUUCUAGAAGACUAUGUUUCCCAACUGACCUUUGAGGACAGAGUAGAGCUUUAUCAGACAAUUGAUAGGAAUUGUCCUCUGGGUAAGCCAGAGCAGAGCUGGUUGGGGCGUGAGCAUUUUAACCUGAUCUGGGUUGUCCUGAAUUCAUCCUGGCUUCAGUCUUGAACUUGUCCUUCCCUUCAAUGCCAAGGUGAGCAAGAGAGGAAGGGCUAUAGGCUGCUGCGCCCCACCGAUCCCUAAGGUUUCUAUCAACCACACCCACAUUUUCUCCUCUUUUCCCCAUUAGCCUCCUGCGAGUACCAUGGCGUAGAGAGCAGUUUGGCAUGGGAUGAUGAGUUGGAGCCACUUAGAUGUAGUCCAGUGCCCCCCAGUGCCUCCCUGCCGUCUUCCUGCACACAAGCAGGCUUGGCAGGCAGAGCAGCCUCCUCUUCAGUUUUCCUUGCUUCUCAAGCAUCCAGACACCCAAAGGUGUCUCCCGGUUUGUCUCUGAUUCUUGUAUACAUUCUUCCACUCAUUCAUUUGUUGAUUCAUCCAACAAAUAUUUUCUGAGCACUCGACAUCUCCUAGGCGCUCUUUUGGGGUGCUGGGAACACAGCAGUGACCCCCGCUGACCUCCCUAUUGUCUUCACAGAGGUUACCCCAACUGAAUGGAUAGGUCUGGUGGUUUUAGAGAGUGACACAGGCCUUGAUGUCAGUAAAACACGAGGGAUCAGGGGAUACCUUGGUUCGGUUUGCAAAUCUGCAGGAGGAUUUGUGUGUGGUGAAGCUAAUCCAAGGACUCCCUGGCUAGAUCCCAUACCUGGUAAGCAAGAAGUACAAAGGCCCUGGGGUGAGAAUAAACCUUAUCUACUCCAGGAGCAGCGGGAGGCUGGGGCCUAGAGGUGAGUAGGAAUCCAACAGACAGGGAUGGUGGGCAGGCUUUAAAUUUCCCUGUAAGUACAAUAGCAGCUCUUGGGGGCUUGGGUCUGGGGAGGAUUCUAAUUUGAUUUAUCUGUUUCGCUGCCUUUAGUACUGAGAGCAGAGAGACCAUAGAGAGCUCUGGGGACAGGGGAUGGCUUAGUUAGCGAAAUGCUCUCAUACAAGCAUGAAGACCAGAGUUAAAGCUCGCUCCAGAGGUCACUCACACAAGUUGGGCGUGGUGCCAUGAGCUGGAGAGACGGACAGGAAGGGGGCUUCUUGGGACUAGCUGACCGAUCAGUCUAGCCAUAUAGGUGAGUUCUGGGUUCAUGAUACUGUCUCAAAGGAGGUGGACGGUGUUCUUGAGGGUGACACUCAAAGUUGUCCCGAGCUUCUUCUCACACACAUCUGUGCAUUCAGGAGCGUACACACACACACACACACACACACACACACGAAAAGAAAUGUGCCAGCCACCAGUCUGACACCACAGUCUUCUCUAGCACCCGUAUUUCCUCACACAUACACAUCUCUUUCCAGGAAUGCCUCUACCCAUACUUUUUACAAAGUUCCUGCUCAUUCCUGAGGUCCCAGCUCCUACACACCCUUCUGGGGAUCCCUUCACUCUCAUGGCAGGAUGAAUUCACAUUCUCAUUCCCAGUUCCAGCCAUAGGCACACAUAGUGUGUCUCUGGUCCUUCCCUCCACUAGGCCAAGGGUCCUGCAAACACUAACAUCUCACUCUGAUGUGUCUCAGAGACCACAGGCCUUUUCUAGCUUGCUCUGGGGGUGGAGCCUGACAAAUGCUUUCUGGGUUGAUGUGAGUUAUUCGAGUACCUGGGUCAUUGGCUGAAGCACCAAGUUAACCAGUGCCCUUUGAACAAGUAUCACACUGUUCUUCCUGGUGACGC
Molecule: long non-coding RNA, 3138 nt
Organism: Chionomys nivalis (European snow vole)
Lineage: Eukaryota; Metazoa; Chordata; Mammalia; Rodentia; Cricetidae
Exons: 6
Source: RefSeq, a predicted model, not a curated record